AUUGAACGCUGGCGGCAUGCUUUACACAUGCAAGUCGAACGGUAACAGGGAGCUUGCUCCGCUGACGAGUGGCGAACGGGUGAGUAAUGCAUCGGAACGUACCCAGUCGUGGGGGAUAACGUAGCGAAAGUUACGCUAAUACCGCAUACGUCCUGAGGGAGAAAGACGGGGGACCGGUAAGGCCUCGCGCGAUUGGAGCGGCCGAUGUCGGAUUAGCUAGUUGGUAGGGUAAAGGCCUACCAAGGCGACGAUCCGUAGCGGGUCUGAGAGGAUGAUCCGCCACACUGGGACUGAGACACGGCCCAGACUCCUACGGGAGGCAGCAGUGGGGAAUUUUGGACAGUGGGCGAAAGCCUGAUCCAGCCAUGCCGCGUGAGUGAAGAAGGCCUUCGGUUGUAAGACUCUUUCUAGACGGAAAGAAAUACGCAUCUUCUAAUACAGGGUGUGGGAUGACGGUACCGUAAGAAGAAGCACCGG
RNAcentral lists this ribosomal RNA (477 nucleotides) under uncultured bacterium. RNAcentral describes it as "bacterial SSU rRNA". It matches the Rfam family "Bacterial small subunit ribosomal RNA", at positions 30 to 496 of the family's 1533-position model. The record is from RNAcentral.